Molecule: ribosomal RNA, 492 nt
Filed under: uncultured bacterium
Lineage: Bacteria
Description: partial 16S ribosomal RNA
Rfam family: Bacterial small subunit ribosomal RNA
Source: RNAcentral
AGUGAACGCUGGCGGUAGGCCUAACACAUGCAAGUCGAACGGCAGCACAGUAAGAGCUUGCUCUUACGGGUGGCGAGUGGCGGACGGGUGAGGAAUACAUCGGAAUCUACUUUUUCGUGGGGGAUAACGUAGGGAAACUUACGCUAAUACCGCAUACGACCUACGGGUGAAAGCAGGGGAUCUUCGGAUCUUGCGCGAUUGAAUGAGCCGAUGUCGGAUUAGCUAGUUGGCGGGGUAAAGGCCCACCAAGGCGACGAUCCGUAGCUGGUCUGAGAGGAUGAUCAGCCACACUGGAACUGAGACACGGUCCAGACUCCUACGGGAGGCAGCAGUGGGGAAUAUUGGACAAUGGGCGCAAGCCUGAUCCAGCCAUACCGCGUGGGUGAAGAAGGCCUUCGGGUUGUAAAGCCCUUUUGUUGGGAAAGAAAAGCAGUAGGUUAAUACCCCGCUGUUCUGACGGUACCCAAAGAAUAAGCACCGGCUAACUUCGUG